GACGAACGCUGGCGGCGUGCUUAACACAUGCAAGUCGAACGGAAAGGCCCUGCUUUUGUGGGGUGCUCGAGUGGCGAACGGGUGAGUAACACGUGAGUAACCUGCCCUUGACUUUGGGAUAACUUCAGGAAACUGGGGCUAAUACCGGAUAGGAGCUCCUGCUGCAUGGUGGGGGUUGGAAAGUUUCGGCGGUUGGGGAUGGACUCGCGGCUUAUCAGCUUGUUGGUGGGGUAGUGGCUUACCAAGGCUUUGACGGGUAGCCGGCCUGAGAGGGUGACCGGCCCCAUUGGGAAUGGGAUACGGCCCAGAAUCCUACCGGAGGCAACCGUGGGGAAUAUUGCCCAAUGGGCGGAAGCCUGAUGCAGCAACGCCGCGUGCGGGAUGACGGCCUUCGGGUUGUAAACCGCUUUCGCCUGUGACGAAGCGGGAGUGACGGUAAUGGGUAAAGAAGCACCGGCUAACUACGUG
This 468-nucleotide ribosomal RNA is filed under the name uncultured bacterium. RNAcentral's name for it is "partial 16S ribosomal RNA". It matches the Rfam family "Bacterial small subunit ribosomal RNA", at positions 28 to 507 of the family's 1533-position model. The record is from RNAcentral.